This 566-nucleotide ribosomal RNA is filed under the name Vishniacozyma victoriae. RNAcentral's name for it is "partial large subunit ribosomal RNA". It matches the Rfam family "Eukaryotic large subunit ribosomal RNA", at positions 59 to 612 of the family's 3401-position model. The record is from RNAcentral. Lineage: Eukaryota; Fungi; Basidiomycota; Tremellomycetes; Tremellales; Bulleribasidiaceae.
AAGAAACUAACUAGGAUUCCCUUAGUAACGGCGAGUGAACCGGGAUGAGCUCAAAUUUAAAAUCUGGCGUCUUUCAGGCGUCCGAGUUGUAAUCUAUAGAGGCGUUUUCCGCGCCGGACCGCGUCCAAGUCUCUUGGAAUAGAGUAUCAAAGAGGGUGACAAUCCCGUACUUGACGCGACAACCGGUGCUCUGUGAUACGUUCUCAAUGAGUCGAGUUGUUUGGGAAUGCAGCUCUAAAUGGGUGGUAAAUUCCAUCUAAGGCUAAAUAUUGGCGAGAGACCGAUAGCGAACAAGUACCGUGAGGGAAAGAUGAAAAGCACUUUGGAAAGAGAGUUAAACAGCACGUGAAAUUGUUAAAAGGGAAACGAUUGAAGUCAGUCGUGUGAAAGGUAUUCAGCCGUCUCUGGCGGUGUAUUUGCCUUUCACGGGUCAACAUCAGUUUGAUCCGGUAGAAAAAGGCGGGAGGAAGGUGGCACCCUCGGGUGUGUUAUAGCCUCCUGUCAUAUGUGCCGGACCAGACUGAGGAACGCAGCUUGCCGCAAGGCCGGGGUUCGCCCACGUACAA